This 519-nucleotide long non-coding RNA is filed under the name Homo sapiens (human). Its description in RNAcentral is "non-protein coding lnc-TADA1-1:1". Lineage: Eukaryota; Metazoa; Chordata; Mammalia; Primates; Hominidae. The record is from RNAcentral.
CAUAGUAUUCCAUGGUGUAUAUGUGCCACAUUUUCUUAAUCCCAUCUAUCAUUGAUGUUGAACUUGUUUCUCUUUGCCCAUGAAUAACUUUGAAAUGCUGGUAGAAGUCAUGGAACUUCUAAUUAGAAAAUCGCAUCAUCUUAUAAAAAGUAUUUUUCAUCAUUUUAUCUCUAUUUGUUUCAUUCUGUAUAAUCUCCACUGAUGUAUCUUCCAGUCCUCUAUAUCUUUUUUCAGCUACAUUUAGUCUAAUUUUUAUGACUAUCUUUUUCAUAUAUGGAAAUUCUUUUUUUCACAGCUGCAACCUGAAGUAUAGAAGAGCAGUUUUACAUCUGCUUUUGCUAGGUACUCUAGCAUGUUUAUGGUGGGUGUUUCCUUAACUGUGGUGUAAGUUGAAUAUAGUCAGUUGGCUUUGUUUCUGGAUGUUUUCAGAGGGUCAAGGCUCUGUGCAGGAUCUUUAGUUGUGACUGACUUGCCCUUGGUUUCACAGGAUAUGUUAGCAAAAUAUUUUUGGUGUUGUGG